This 498-nucleotide ribosomal RNA is filed under the name uncultured bacterium. RNAcentral's name for it is "partial 16S ribosomal RNA". It matches the Rfam family "Bacterial small subunit ribosomal RNA", at positions 30 to 523 of the family's 1533-position model. The record is from RNAcentral.
AUUGAACGCUGGCGGCAUGCCUUACACAUGCAAGUCGAACGGUAACAGGUCUUCGGAUGCUGACGAGUGGCGAACGGGUGAGUAAUACAUCGGAACGUGCCUAGUAGUGGGGGAUAACUACUCGAAAGAGUGGCUAAUACCGCAUGAGAUCUACGGAUGAAAGCAGGGGAUCGCAAGACCUUGUGCUACUAGAGCGGCCGAUGGCAGAUUAGGUAGUUGGUGGGAUAAAAGCUUACCAAGCCGACGAUCUGUAGCUGGUCUGAGAGGACGAUCAGCCACACUGGGACUGAGACACGGCCCAGACUCCUACGGGAGGCAGCAGUGGGGAAUUUUGGACAAUGGGCGAAAGCCUGAUCCAGAAAUGCCGCGUGCAGGAUGAAGGCCUUCGGGUUGUAAACUGCUUUUGUACGGAACGAAAAGCCCCAGGUUAAUACCCUGGGGUCAUGACGGUACCGUAAGAAUAAGCACCGGCUAACUACGUGCCAGCCGCCGCAGUAA